AAAUUUUUUGAUUGAAUAGGUUUUGAUAUGUUUUUAUAUGAUUAAACCUAGUAAAUAUCUAUAAAUUAUAGUCAAAUUGACCAUCCAUGUAUCAAUGAACAAAUGUUCAACUACAUAUGGAUAGUGUAUAAUAUAAAAAUUUAUCUAAACUAUAGCAAUAUGCGUCUUAAAAUGUAAAAAAAAUAUAAUCAUAACUUAUUAUAAAAAAUAAAGAGAUAAUUUUUGUUAACAAAUACAUAAAAUGACACUCUAGGAUGAGAAAAAAAAAA
Molecule: long non-coding RNA, 269 nt
Filed under: Capsella rubella
Lineage: Eukaryota; Viridiplantae; Streptophyta; Magnoliopsida; Brassicales; Brassicaceae
Description: long non-coding RNA (CRUB_LNC000838)
Source: RNAcentral